UACAGAGGGUGCGAGCGUUAAUCGGAUUUACUGGGCGUAAAGCGUGCGUAGGCGGCUCCUUAAGUCGGAUGUGAAAUCCCUGAGCUUAACUUAGGAUUUGCAUUCGAUACUGGGAAGCUAGAGUAUGGGAGAGGAUGGUAGAAUUCCAGGUGUAGCGGUGAAAUGCGUAGAGAUCUGGAGGAAUACCGGUGGCGAAGGCAGCCAUCUGGCCUAAUACUGACGCUGAGGUACGAAAGCAUGGGGAGCAAACAGG
Molecule: ribosomal RNA, 253 nt
Filed under: uncultured Acinetobacter sp.
Lineage: Bacteria; Pseudomonadati; Pseudomonadota; Gammaproteobacteria; Moraxellales; Moraxellaceae
Description: partial 16S ribosomal RNA
Rfam family: Bacterial small subunit ribosomal RNA
Source: RNAcentral